GUAUGGUGCAAGCGUUAUCCGGAUUUACUGGGUGUAAAGGGAGCGUAGACGGCUGUGCAAGUCUGAAGUGAAAGGCCGGGGCCCAACCCCGGGAGUGCUUUGGAAACUGUGCGGCUAGAGUGUCGGAGAGGCAAGUGGAAUUCCCAGUGUAGCGGUGAAAUGCGUAGAUAUUGGGAGGAACACCAGUGGCGAAGGCGUCUUGCUGGACGAUGACUGACGUUGAGGCUCGAAAGCGUGGGUAGCAAA
RNAcentral lists this ribosomal RNA (246 nucleotides) under uncultured bacterium. RNAcentral describes it as "partial 16S ribosomal RNA". It matches the Rfam family "Bacterial small subunit ribosomal RNA", at positions 527 to 772 of the family's 1533-position model. The record is from RNAcentral.